Molecule: ribosomal RNA, 250 nt
Filed under: uncultured bacterium
Lineage: Bacteria
Description: partial 16S ribosomal RNA
Rfam family: Bacterial small subunit ribosomal RNA
Source: RNAcentral
AACGUAGGGGGCGAGCGUUGCCCGGAAUCACUGGGCGUAAAGGGCGCGUAGGCGGCCUCAGUUGGUCGGCCGUGAAAGCCCCCGGCUCAACCGGGGGAGGCCGGUCGAUACCGCGAGGCUCGAGGGUGGUAGGGGGAGACGGAAUUCCCGGUGUAGCGGUUGAAUGCGAUGAUACCGGGAGGAACCCCGAUGGCGAAGGCGGUCUCCUGGGCCACCCCUGACGCUGAGGCGCGAAAGCACGGGGAGCGAA